GUGAGGAAUAUUGGUCAAUGGACGAGAGUCUGAACCAGCCAAGUCGCGUGAAGGAAGACGGUUCUAUGAAUUGUAAACUUCUUUUGUGCAGGAAUAAAGUGGGUUACGUGUAACCUUUUGUAUGUACUGUACGAAUAAGGAUCGGCUAACUCCGUGCCAGCAGCCGCGGUAAUACGGAGGAUCCGAGCGUUAUCCGGAUUUAUUGGGUUUAAAGGGUGCGUAGGUGGAUUGAUAAGUCAGCGGUGAAAGUUUGCAGCUUAACUGUAAAAUUGCCGUUGAAACUGUCGGUCUUGAGUGCAAAUGAGGUAGGCGGAAUGUGUUGUGUAGCGGUGAAAUGCUUAGAUAUAACACAGAACUCCGAUUGCGAAGGCAGCUUACUGGAGCGCAACUGACGCUGAGGCACGAAAGCGUGGGGAUCGAACAGGAUUAGAAACCCUGGUAGUCC
RNAcentral lists this ribosomal RNA (445 nucleotides) under uncultured bacterium. Its description in RNAcentral is "partial 16S ribosomal RNA". It matches the Rfam family "Bacterial small subunit ribosomal RNA", at positions 354 to 796 of the family's 1533-position model. The record is from RNAcentral.